AUCCGGGUUGCGGACAGUGUCUGGUGGGUAGUUUGACUGGGGCGGUCUCCUCCUAAAGAGUAACGGAGGAGCACGAAGGUUGGCUAAUCCUGGUCGGACAUCAGGAGGUUAGUGCAAUGGCAUAAGCCAGCUUGACUGCGAGCGUGACGGCGCGAGCAGGUGCGAAAGCAGGUCAUAGUGAUCCGGUGGUUCUGAAUGGAAGGACCAUCGCUCAACGGAUAAAAGGUACUCCGGGGAUAACAGGCUGAUACCGCCCAAGAGUUCAUAUCGACGGCGGUGUUUGGCACCUCGAUGUCGGCUCAUCACAUCCUGGGGCUGAAGUAGAUCCCAAGGGUAUGGCUGUUCGCCAUUUAAAGUGGUACGCGAGCUGGGUUUAGAACGUCGUGAGACAGUUCGGUCCCUAUCUGCCGUGGGCGCUGGAGAACUGAGGGGGGCUGCUCCUAGUACGAGAGGACCGGAGUGGACGCAUCACUGGUGUUCGGGUUGUCAUGCCAAUGGCACUGCCCGGUAGCUAAAUGCGGAAGAGAUAAGUGCUGAAAGCAUCUAAGCACGAAACUUGCCCCGAGAUGAGUUCUCCCUGACCCUUUAAGGGUCCUGAAGGAACGUUGAAGACGACGACGUUGAUAGGCCGGGUGUGUAAGCGCAGCGAUGCGUUGAGCUAACCGGUACUAAUUAACCGUGAGGCUUAACCUUACAACGCCGAAGGUGUUU
RNAcentral lists this ribosomal RNA (711 nucleotides) under Shigella flexneri. RNAcentral describes it as "partial 23S ribosomal RNA". It matches the Rfam family "Bacterial large subunit ribosomal RNA", at positions 2238 to 2925 of the family's 2925-position model. The record is from RNAcentral. Lineage: Bacteria; Pseudomonadati; Pseudomonadota; Gammaproteobacteria; Enterobacterales; Enterobacteriaceae.